This is an RNA transcript of Mastomys coucha (southern multimammate mouse), 1205 nucleotides long. It is a transcript of the gene named trafficking protein particle complex subunit 12 pseudogene, with no coding region annotated. Lineage: Eukaryota; Metazoa; Chordata; Mammalia; Rodentia; Muridae. The record is from RefSeq and is a predicted model, not a curated record. The transcript is spliced from 2 exons.
AUGAUCGUCACGUUCAGGCUGCAAGGUGAAGCACUGCACUCCGGGUCAGCUUCUAGCAGGCCCGAGAAGAGCACGUCUGAUUGCAUGCGGGUUGGUACCCCAGACCCCACCUCUGAGAAAAAGACAUCAGCUAAGACCCCUCCUCCGAUGGUCCAGCCCAGUACCAGCCUGAGUACAUUUUUUGGAGAUACAAUGAGCUCUAAUUCCUUGCCCUCUGACUUCUUUGAUUCCUUCACAACUUCUAUUUUCAUUUCGGUCAGUAAUCCCAACGCAGGUUCCCCAGUUCCAAAAAAGCUGUCUUCCCUUGCUGCCCCUAUAGGAGAAAAGUCACCGGAUUUCACCAGCCCAUCUUACUCCACAAGGAUGGAUAGAUCGGAAUCAGGUGUUUCUCAGGCUCCUCAGGGACAUUUGGAGAUGUCCCUGAAUCUCCAAAGCCAUUCUCACAGAUCCAGGCUGUGUUCGCUGGGAGUGAUGACCCCUUCGCCACAGUCCUGAGCAUGAGCGAAAUGGACCGGAGAAAUGACGCAUGGCUUCCCAGUCAGGCGACCAGAGAAGUCCUGAUGUCAGUAGCAACCCAGCAGUAUGGCACUAUAUUCAUAGACAAGGAGAACCCCACUAUGCACGGCCUCAAGUUUGACAACAUUCAGGGAAAUGCAGUUAAAGACUCAAUGGUUCACUUCCUGGGUGAGAAAGCUGCAGCAAAGAGACAAGUCUUAAAUGCCAGCUCGGUGGAGCAGUCCUUUGUGGGGCUGAAGCAGCUCAUUAGCAGCAGGAACUGGAGGGCAGCAGUUGACCUGUGUGGACACCUGCUCACAGCCCAAGGACAAGGCUAUGACAAGAGCGGGCUGCCCACCAACCACACCACGGAUUCCUUGCAGCUCUGGUUUGUGAGGCUGGCGCUGGUGGUGAAGUUGGGCCUUUUCCAGAAUGCCGAGAUGGAAUUUGAACACUUUGGAAAUCUGGAUCAAGCAGACCUGUAUUAUGAAUACUACCCACAUGUGUACCCAGGACACAGGGGCUCCAUGGUCUCCUUUUGAAUGCAUAUUCUGCAUGCAGAACUACAGCAGUAUCUGGGGUACCCACAGGAGUCCCUGGACCGAUUACACAGGGUCAAGACUGUCUGCAGCAAGAUCCAGGCCAACUUGGAGCAAGGCUUAGCUGAAGAAGGUGAUCUGAGCAGCAUCACUCAGGAAAGCAGGCUGUGA